Molecule: ribosomal RNA, 865 nt
Filed under: Pseudoneoconiothyrium rosae
Lineage: Eukaryota; Fungi; Ascomycota; Dothideomycetes; Pleosporales; Thyridariaceae
Description: partial 28S ribosomal RNA
Rfam family: Eukaryotic large subunit ribosomal RNA
Source: RNAcentral
GCGGAGGAAAAGAAACCAACAGGGAUUGCCUCAGUAACGGCGAGUGAAGCGGCAACAGCUCAAAUUUGAAAUCUGGCCCUUUCAGGGUCCGAGUUGUAAUUUGUAGAGGGUGCUUUGGUGUUGGCCGUGGUCUAAGUUCCUUGGAACAGGACGUCACAGAGGGUGAGAAUCCCGUACGUGGCCGCCGGUCUUCACCGUGUAAAGCCCCUUCGACGAGUCGAGUUGUUUGGGAAUGCAGCUCUAAAUGGGAGAUAAAUUUCUUCUAAAGCUAAAUAUUGGCCAGAGACCGAUAGCGCACAAGUAGAGUGAUCGAAAGAUGAAAAGCACUUUGGAAAGAGAGUCAAAAAGCACGUGAAAUUGUUGAAAGGGAAGCGCUUGCAGCCAGACGUGCCCGCAGUUGCUCACCUGGGCUUUUGCCCGGGGCAUUCUUCUGCGGGCAGGCCAGCAUCAGUUCGGGCGGUUGGAUAAAGGCCUCUAUCACGUACCAUCCUUCGGGAUGUCCUUAUAGGGGAGGCGCAACACGACCAGCCUGAACUGAGGACCGCGCAUUUGCUAGGAUGCUGGCGUAAUGGCUGUAAGCGGCCCGUCUUGAAACACGGACCAAGGAGUCUAACAUCUAUGCGAGUGUUUGGGUGUAAAGCCCGGACGCGCAAUGAAAGUGAACGGAGGUGGGAACCCCUCGGGGUGCACCAUCGACCGAUCCUGAAGUCUUCGGAUGGAUUUGAGUAAGAGCAUAGCUGUUGGGACCCGAAAGAUGGUGAACUAUGCCUGAAUAGGGUGAAGCCAGGGGAAACCCUGGUGGAGGCUCGCAGCGGUUCUGACGUGCAAAUCGAUCGUCAAAUUUGGGCAUAGGGGCGAAAGACUA